GGAUUUUCUUAUCUCUCUCUGGAAGCUCUCCAACCUGCUAUUAUGUCACUAAGGUCAAUAACCGUGGGUUUAGGUGUAUCUUAGGUGAAGAUGCGCUGAAACGACUACCUGCAGCUUGUCCUAUGCUAGAGUCAGUAAUUCUUCAUUUUCAGAAUUGUGCAAACUUGGAUGAGCUUUCCUUGCUGGGAUGUAAGCUUCUCAAUUCAGAUUCUCAAAAGAUUAUCUCACAUGGAUGCCCAGGCUUGAUUUCUAUC
Quercus robur (English oak) is the source of this 254-nucleotide long non-coding RNA. RefSeq lists it as uncharacterized. The record is from RefSeq and is a predicted model, not a curated record. The transcript has 3 exons. NCBI's taxonomy places the organism in Eukaryota, Viridiplantae, Streptophyta, Magnoliopsida, Fagales, Fagaceae.